AGCGAACGUUUGCGGCGGGCUUAACACAUGCAAGUCGAACGAGAAUCCCUUCGGGGAGGAAAGUGGCGCACGGGUGCGUAACACGUGGAUAACCAACCCAUUGGUUUGGGACAACACCGGGAAACUGGUGCUAAUACCAGAUGUGUCGCAGCUGUCUUCAGGCGGUUGCGAGAAAGGCCCGCAAGGGUCGCCAACGGACGGGUCCGCGUCCCACCAGCUAGUUGGUGAGGUAAUGGCUCACCAAGGCAAAGACGGGUAGCUGGUCUGAGAGGAUGAUCAGCCACACUGGAACUGAGACACGGUCCAGACUCCUACGGGAGGCAGCAGUGGGGAAUAUUGCGCAAUGGGCGAAAGCCUGACGCAGCCACGCCGCGUGAGCGAUGAAGGUCUUCGGAUCGUAAAGCUCUGUGGGGGGANAAGAAGAAAGCCGGUGAAGAGCCGGCCCUGACGGUAUCCCCUUAGCAAGCACCGGCUAACUCCGUGCCAGCAGCCGCGGUAAUGU
RNAcentral lists this ribosomal RNA (502 nucleotides) under uncultured bacterium. RNAcentral's name for it is "bacterial SSU rRNA". It matches the Rfam family "Bacterial small subunit ribosomal RNA", at positions 29 to 526 of the family's 1533-position model. The record is from RNAcentral.